This 703-nucleotide long non-coding RNA is filed under the name Homo sapiens (human). Lineage: Eukaryota; Metazoa; Chordata; Mammalia; Primates; Hominidae. The record is from RNAcentral.
UCAUGUAAUCAUUCAUUUAAUAAAUAUAUGUUUAGUAACCAAUCUGUGCCAAACCCAAGGCUAGAUCCUGGGAAAAGAAAAACAAGUGGGACACAUCCUUGCCCUCUGCAGCUCUCAGUCACGCUGGGGAGACCAACAGGAAGCCAACUAUGGUGUGCUUCAAAACAGAAUGAAAUUGGAGAGGGGGAUCCAAGCAAAGGGUCCCGGCAGACAGAUGAAGAAGGUGGUUGUGGAAAGCUUCAUGGAGAGAGACCCUUGCCUGGCCCUGAAGAACUGCUGUAUUUAAAUGGAUACGAAAGUCAGGGCAAUGAAUGGGGCUCAGACCAGGAGUUGGAUGGACCCAUUAUCAAUUCACAAAAGUUCAACUACAUUCGACUACUUCAAGGAGAAAAAUUAUGUAAAGCAAUAAUCACGAUUAUCAAGAGAAAAAAAUUGUGAAUUGUGAGCAACCUGGGGACAAAAACUCAAACUUGUUUUAUCUUCAGUUCCUGACACAGCAACUCAUAGGCAUUAAGAACUCAGUGAAUAUUGAAUGGAAGAACAAACCAAGAAAUGAAUGAAGGAGUGAGUGAACGAGUGACUAUAUUAAGCAUUAGUUAAUAAGAGAUGAGGAAAAGGAAGCUGUCAUUGAGUGUCCACUGUGUGUCAAAUUCUGUGCUAAUUGUUUAAAUCUAUUCAUCAAUAAAAAGAAAUUUCCCAUUUG